This 586-nucleotide ribosomal RNA is filed under the name Purpureocillium lilacinum. RNAcentral's name for it is "eukaryotic LSU rRNA". It matches the Rfam family "Eukaryotic large subunit ribosomal RNA", at positions 45 to 656 of the family's 3401-position model. The record is from RNAcentral. Lineage: Eukaryota; Fungi; Ascomycota; Sordariomycetes; Hypocreales; Ophiocordycipitaceae.
CCAAAGCGGAGGAAAAGAAACCAACAGGGAUUGCCCCAGUAACGGCGAGUGAAGCGGCAACAGCUCAAAUUUGAAAUCUGGCCCCCAGGGCCCGAGUUGUAAUUUGCAGAGGAUGCUUUUGGCGCGGUGCCUUCCGAGUUCCCUGGAACGGGACGCCAUAGAGGGUGAGAGCCCCGUCUGGUCGGACGCCUAGCCUGUGUAAAGCUCCUUCGACGAGUCGAGUAGUUUGGGAAUGCUGCUCUAAAUGGGAGGUAUAUGUCUUCUAAAGCUAAAUACCGGCCAGAGACCGAUAGCGCACAAGUAGAGUGAUCGAAAGAUGAAAAGCACUUUGAAAAGAGGGUUAAAUAGUACGUGAAAUUGUUGAAAGGGAAGCGCUUGUGACCAGACUUGGGCCCGGUGGAUCAUCCAGCGUUCUCGCUGGUGCACUCCGCCGGGUUCAGGCCAGCAUCAGUUCGCCGCGGGGGAAAAAGGCUUCGGGAACGUGGCUCCUACGGGAGUGUUAUAGCCCGUUGCAUAAUACCCUGGGGCGGACUGAGUUCGCGCUCCGCAAGGAUGCUGGCGUAAUGGUCAUCAGCGACCCGUCUUG